RNAcentral lists this ribosomal RNA (388 nucleotides) under uncultured bacterium. Its description in RNAcentral is "bacterial SSU rRNA". It matches the Rfam family "Bacterial small subunit ribosomal RNA", at positions 28 to 417 of the family's 1533-position model. The record is from RNAcentral.
GACGAACGCUGGCGGCGUGCUUAACACAUGCAAGUCGAGCGGUAAGGCCCCUUCGGGGGUACACGAGCGGCGAACGGGUGAGUAACACGUGGGUGACCUGCCCUCAGCUCUGGGAUAAGCCUGGGAAACUGGGUCUAAUACCGGAUAUGACUCCAUGACGCAUGUCGUGGGGUGGAAAGCCUUGUGCGGCUGGGGAUGGGCCCGCGGCCUAUCAGCUUGUUGGUGGGGUGAGGCCUACCAAGGCGACGACGGGUAGCCGGCCUGAGAGGGUCGACCGGCCACACUGGGACUGAGACACGGCCCAGACUCCUACGGGAGGCAGCAGUGGGGAAUCUUGCGCAAUGGGCGAAAGCCUGACGCAGCGACGCCGCGUGAGGGAUGACGGCCU